CCUGGUGCCUUUAGCGGCGGGGUCACACCUGUUCCCAUCUCGAACACAGCAGUUAAGCCCGCCAGCGCCGAUGGUAGUAGUCCUUAAGUGGCUGCAAGAGUAGGUCGGUGCCAGGA
This 116-nucleotide ribosomal RNA is filed under the name Candidatus Peribacter riflensis. RNAcentral also lists the same sequence under 1 other name. Lineage: Bacteria; Candidatus Peregrinibacteriota; Candidatus Peribacteria; Candidatus Peribacterales. The record is from RNAcentral.